AGAAACAGGAAGUGCCCCUCUUUUCCCCUCCGCUCUUGCUCCAGCGGCGGGAUGUGAUCCACUGGCAAGGAGGGACGCCAAUAAGGUGUCCGAUAAAAUAAGUCUUAUAAAAUAUAUAGGUUUAUGAUAGUUAACACUGAGCUAGCAGAUGAGAAUCCUAGUCAUUGGCCAAGCAGCUUUGAACCUAAUCCAAGUUUCUGUGUAUUCAUUUGGGCCCUAACUCAGGCAGGCGGCUGGCAUAAAGCUCACACGUGGCGUUGGGGCUCGGCGGCUUUUGGCAGAAAGAUUUAUCGUAACAACCCUUUCUUUUGCAAAACAUGCAUUAUGAGCACUUUCUAGGAAAGAGAGAGUGAGGAAAAUGAGGACAAGGAGCCAUGAGGGAAAGCUAUAUUCACCAGCUUCCCCCUGUCCUGUCCCCCAAUGGGAACCAUUUUUUAACUCUUUGUACAGUUUCUGGCCACAUUUAAUGGUCUCUAGAUCCCUAAACAACAACAACAACAACAAAAACCACAUCAUUUUGAAAAUGAAAGCUGUCAACUUGCAAGGAAGUGUGCCUCACCCAAAGGCGAGUCCAGCACCCUGUGGCGAGGAGAUUUGUGCCAACCCUUUCUGCAGAAUGCACAAAGACUUGAAGGAGACUGAAGUAGAUAGAUUUUAUACCAACACUCUUAAAAGAACCCAGGAAUCCUUACAAAUCUGGAAGAGAAAGCUGUCAAAACAAGUGAGGACCAGUUGCAUGGGGUCUUCGGAGAGAAAUCUAUCUACACAGUUGCUCAAAGAUGAUGUCACCAUUUGUGUUCCUCAUCUGAGGCCUGAGGAAGCCGAGGCCCAGAUUCUGAGACUGGGACUUUGGCAGGGAGCCUCUUCGGUGUGUCAGGCGGACCUUCAUGAGAAGCCGAUUCUAAACCACAGCACUGUGGUGUUUGGGACUUGAAGCUCCAGGAGUGAGGAAACAGCAGAAACAGGACGCUCCCUUCUGCCUUUGACCAUAUCGUCCUUCCUGAGAUCACAGCGUAAAACCCUGGAAGGAUUUCCUGACCACCCCGCAAACAGGUAAGAACUUUCUGAAGGCGUUACCCAAGGACAACCGAGGGAGGAACAUCCUCAUCCAUGAACACCCAGGGACACUGAGGAGUAUCUGAGGAGAUAUUGAAUCUCUCCUUCCAAGAGAUGCCUGCUGUUGCAACCCUGGAGGGGACAAGACAGGAGGAAAUGAGAGAAGGAGUUUCUGGGCCAAAUAAUAACCUCAUCUCAUGUGGUCAGGACCGAAUGUUCUGGGCCUCAGAUCGUAAUUGUAAGAA
This 1301-nucleotide long non-coding RNA is filed under the name Cricetulus griseus (Chinese hamster). Its description in RNAcentral is "lncRNA (ENSCGRG00015033928.1)". Lineage: Eukaryota; Metazoa; Chordata; Mammalia; Rodentia; Cricetidae. The record is from RNAcentral.